This 410-nucleotide ribosomal RNA is filed under the name uncultured soil bacterium. RNAcentral describes it as "bacterial SSU rRNA". It matches the Rfam family "Bacterial small subunit ribosomal RNA", at positions 509 to 916 of the family's 1533-position model. The record is from RNAcentral.
CAGCCGCCGCGGUAAUACGGGGGGAGCAAGCGUUGUUCGGAUUUACUGGGCGUAAAGGGCGCGUAGGCGGCGUGACAAGUCACUUGUGAAAUCUCCGGGCUUAACUCGGAACGGUCAAGUGAUACUGUCGUGCUAGAGUACAGAAGGGGCAACUGGAAUUCUCGGUGUAGCGGUGAAAUGCGUAGAUAUCGAGAGGAACACCUGCGGCGAAGGCGGGUUGCUGGGCUGAUACUGACGCUGAGGCGCGAAAGCCAGGGGAGCGAACGGGAUUAGAUACCCCGGUAGUCCUGGCCUUAAACGAUGAAUGCUUGGUGUCUCGGGUUAUAAAGUCCCGGGGUGCCGUCGCUAACGCUUUUAGCAUUCCGCCUGGGGAGUACGGUCGCAAGACUGAAACUCAAAUGAAUUGACGG